RNAcentral lists this ribosomal RNA (496 nucleotides) under uncultured bacterium. RNAcentral's name for it is "partial 16S ribosomal RNA". It matches the Rfam family "Bacterial small subunit ribosomal RNA", at positions 28 to 506 of the family's 1533-position model. The record is from RNAcentral.
GAUGAACGCUGGCGGCGUGCCUAAUACAUGCAAGUCGAGCGAACGGACGAGAAGCUUGCUUCUCUGAUGUUAGCGGCGGACGGGUGAGUAACACGUGGAUAACCUACCUAUAAGACUGGGAUAACUUCGGGAAACCGGAGCUAAUACCGGAUAAUAUUUUGAACCGCAUGGUUCAAAAGUGAAAGACGGUCUUGCUGUCACUUAUAGAUGGAUCCGCGCUGCAUUAGCUAGUUGGUAAGGUAACGGCUUACCAAGGUAACGAUGCAUAGCCGACCUGAGAGGGUGAUCGGCCACACUGGAACUGAGACACGGUCCAGACUCCUACGGGAGGCAGCAGUAGGGAAUCUUCCGCAAUGGGCGAAAGCCUGACGGAGCAACGCCGCGUGAGUGAUGAAGGUCUUCGGAUCGUAAAACUCUGUUAUUAGGGAAGAACAUAUGUGUAAGUAACUGUGCACAUCUUGACGGUACCUAAGCAGAAAGCCACGGCUAACUACGU